Athalia rosae (coleseed sawfly) is the source of this 4941-nucleotide long non-coding RNA. RefSeq lists it as uncharacterized. The record is from RefSeq and is a predicted model, not a curated record. NCBI's taxonomy places the organism in Eukaryota, Metazoa, Arthropoda, Insecta, Hymenoptera, Athaliidae. The transcript is spliced from 2 exons.
UCGACGAGGAAUGGAAUUGAUGUAGGUGCGAUAUGUUCGGUGGUACGGCAAACGCGGUACGUUUUAAUAAUGAGAAGAUGAUAACGAAGACGAUGAAAAUGGAGGGAAGGGGAGACGGGGGAGGGGGUCUGGAGAAGUGUUACAAAGUUACCCCCGAGAUGGUACGUGAAAAAUUUUGCUGAGAAAAGGAGGAAAGAAGUAGGGAAAGCUCGGGCAAAGUUGCAGAACGAACGAACGAACGGCAGCCGGUAUUUAGCGUACGUACGUACUUACAUUACGAUAUUAUAUACGUACUCAUAGGUAUAUCAUCCAGGCGAAAGAGGAGAACCGACCACGAAGAGGACUCGAAGGGGGAGAGAGGCAGGGGAGGGGGAGGGGCGCCCUUGACUUGAACUUGCGGUUGGCGGGGGAGUGGGAAUGCAUGGCCUUGAGCCGCCCUGUCUCGAUGUUACAGCGUUUCUCAAUCGGGCACCUUGCCACUUGAUCUUCCUCCUUUGAACGAUCGUCUCCGCGAUAAUAAAUACCUAGCCAUGUACACCAUAGACUAAACAUGAAUCUCAUGGCGGCUAACGGAGAGCAACCAACCGAAUCGGCCCGUUUCUUCUGCUUCUGCUUACGCUGCUGCUGGCUGCGGCUGCUGCAAGUCUGUAAAAUUAAGAAGUUGAGAACGCGACGCGUCGCGACCGAAGGAGGAGGGGGGUACGGGACUGUGAGAAGAAGGAUUUUGGGGGCGGAAGGGGGAAGGGGAAAAGGGAGACUCUUAGGGAGGAGGAGGAGAAGAAAAAAAGGGAAGGGAUGUGAAGAGAAGAGAAGAGAAGAGAAGGAGCGAGGUGACGGGCGAUGGGCAGCGUUGCGAGGGGCAGGGGACGAGGAAUCGAGAAAAAGAGAAGGGUGGUGGUCUUCGGUCCCCGCAGCAGCAAACCGGCAGCAGCCAGCAGCACUGACGCAGCAUACUCGAAUCCCGUUUUUGAUAUUUCAUUCCCCCGUGAAAAGAACAUCCACGUAAUUUCUUGUUCGAAACAAAGGGGGACGAAAAAAAAAUCACGCCCCCGUCCCGGGGUGACGUGGAGAUCGCGGCCGAAGACCGAAAUUCAUUCCUCUCCGAGGUGAAAUGAAAAAGGACGAAGUCGGUAGUCGCGGUAGGAAUAAUGAUAACGUUCAUAAUAAUGAUCGUAGCGAGAGUGGUAGCGGUAGAAGUUAAAGUCGAAGUUAUACGAGGAAAGAGAGCAAAGAUGGGUCGCGGAACUUGCGCUGCAUCCGACGACACCGACGGAGCAGCACGUGGCCUACUACUCUACUCAUCGCUGCACUCUUUGCAGGUCCUGAACUGCGCCUACCUACCUACCUACCUAACUACCUAACUACCUCUGUUUCUCUACCUCAGCCACCUUCUCGGCUUAUUGGUUUUGUGCAACGUUUCCGACGCCCAACUUAAUCGCAAUGCGACGAGUGGGGCGACUUUGUUCCUCCUUUUUUCACGUCUUACACGUCCAACACUUCCCGAUUCUCCCGUACCCAACCACCCGCCUACCUACCCCUUGGUAAAAUAUUAUUUACUCCGUUUUCACUCGUAUGUAUUACCCCCAUAUCGUGUAUAUACUCGGUCAGUAAUAUCCUGCGGGGGAAUUUCUUCUUUUAUGUAUGCUGGAUUUCAUUCAUACCCCAGUUUAUAGUUUAUGCGAUUUUCUCGCGUGAUUUCUGACGCGGAGAACGAUCAUCUUGAAAAAUAAGUCGAAUCGAUGACGAGAGAAAAGGGGAAUCGCGUGCCAUUGAAUAAAAUUUUGUGAUAUUUGUGCGCCACGAAUGGGCACAGAUCUGGUUAACGAGACGGUUUAAAAAUCGUUUUUUUUUUUGUUUUGUUUUUUGGCGAGUAGAAACUUUCGCCGAGUUUAUCGCAGGUAUAGCUAUGGAUACGUGCAUCGCCGAUGACUCCUCGGAGUUAAUUUUCUCGGGCGCUGCUGCUGCUGCUGUUGGUGGUUGAUGUCGAAAGUUGAAAAGAUUAUAAAACGCGGCGUAUGCUAAGCGGAAGACUACGCCAAUGAUACCGAGCUCACCGACCUUCGAAUCGGCCAGGCCGUUUUUGUGCUCUGACGCUGCAGGGCAAAGCGGGGAAAAUACGGAGAAGAUGGAGGGAAGAGGGAAGCUAAUGCAGUCCUCGUAGCCAGUCGGUCGCACAACUCUGUAGGAAUAUUUUAUUUCUAUAAUAAUAUUUGUUAAGAAUGGAAGAACGAAAAAAAUUUAUACUCUCUCUUUACGUGUCGUUGUUUGUUAACAACCGAUUCAUUUGUACUUAAAUUCGAUCGGACCCGACGCGGAAACGAAACACGCGUUGCGAAUAACGAAACUAUUUUUUUCUCGGUUUUCUGGAUUCCCUUUCCCUGAGAAUCGAUCGAUUUUCGCUCCGUCGAUGGAGCGACACCCGAUAUCGAUUCGUUUUGAUGAGAUUAAUGUAAAAUUUCAAAUGUUCUUGAUCAUCUUUCAGGUCGGAGCAAUCUUGGAAUGGCCAAUGGCCAGUAAUUGGUGAGCUAGGUAUACAGCAGUAAUGGUAUAUCUCGUGGUAUUCGCCCGAUGGAGCGAAUAUUUUCGUCUUAAGGACCGGUCCUCCUUCUCCUCCUUUUACUUCUACUUCUUCUCCCUCUCCUUCUCCCGGUUUUUGGUUCGGUUGACGUUGCAGACUGCGGUUGUUGUCGGAAUGCGCCCCGCAAUGAGUCGAGCGCUUAGCAAAAUAACAGAAUCAAUUUUUGACAAGCUGUUUGCCAGCAAAAUCUUGAUCAUCCUACUCUUUAUUUUUAUUUUUCUGUUUUUUUUUCUUCUUCAGAUCCUGUAUAACAACCGGCACUUCACAGCAAGGAGUCGAGUCCAAAAAAAAAAUGCAUGAAUAUUAUAUACGCACGCAUAUUUGUAGAUUUUUAUUAGCGCGUAUCGCGUGUAUUUCUACAUCCAGAGGAGGGGAGAGACAAAAGAAUAAUUGAUCUCACAUGAAUUCGACUUGCGUUAAGCGUAAUCACCUCGAUAACGAUUUAAAAAUCUUUCAAAUUUAUUUGUCCGCGCAACGCGGAUACCCUAUUACAAUAAUAUUUUAAAACGACGACAGAUUCAGCACCCGCGAUUAUGACUCAUACUGAAUUUGGCCAUGAAAUACUAACGAAACUCAACGCGCGCACACACCCGAGGAACAAGCGAAACAUAUCGCGUUGUAUUUUUGCAUGUAAUACAUGCCAAACGAAAUAUAAAAUAUAUUAACGUGUACUAAAAUAUGAGCUGAUCAUCAUCCAGCGGUGAAUGAUUACCUAUUUUUCAAUUUUCACUCCCCCGUUCAGUGCCUGAUAAAUUUAACGUUUCAAUGAUUUUUAUUUUAUUUUUAAAUCAGCUUUUUUUUUAUCACAUAUUUGUGCAGCGAGCCGAGCAGCAAUUAUUUGCGAGUUACACCUACUAUAGUAUGUAUACCUAUGCGCAUAAGGUUGAAUCCUUUGUUGUUAUAAUAACUGAAUGAAAAUCUUUCAUAUUUUCACACCGCGUUCAAUGCAAUUAUUCGUAAUCCCAUAGGUGUUGUAUCAACUGCAGCAGCAUCAGAGAGAAAGAGAAGACAAAAAACAGAAUGAGAAGAAAAAAUAAUUACAUAUGUACAAUGAACGAUAAACAUUUCCUUCCAAAUAUUUAAUAAUCAACCCUAACGCUGUAUCGAUAAUUUUGUAAUAAGUGUCUUAUAUUUUCACUCUUUCAACAACAGCAACAACAGCAACACCGGCAACAGUGAUAGGUAGUAAUAGGUGUAGACGUAUUUAAUUAUGUUUUUAAUUUCGACCCGGAAUCGUAAUUGAUCAACAACAUUAUUAUCAAUAUUAUUACUAUCAUCGUCAUCGUCGAUAUUGAAUUUGUUUUUCGUGUAUCUAUCUGAUGUAUAAUUCCAUUAAAUAAUUACUGGUAUGGCAACUGUAUCAAUUUAUGGAUUGUUAAUUCUUGACUCUGAUGUAUCUUUCAGUUUCGGUAUAACAUAUUCCAUUAUCAUAUUAUACAAUAUCAAUAUUAUAUCAUUUCCAAAUUCAAUAUUUAAUUGAAUAAUAAUCGAGGGGAUGUUGUUUAUCAACUAUACAUACCUAUAUAUAUGAAUGUAUUAAGACGUGUAAAUAUGAUAUUCCGUUAAUUGCAUGUAUAUAUAAUUAUAAAUAAUAAUAAUUAUAGGAUUAAAGUGAAAUAAAAGCGGAAUAAUAGAACAAAGAGAAGAAGAAAGCAAAAGAAUUGAAAUGAAAAAUAAAAGUUUUAAUAAACAUGUAUAUCUAAAUAAAAGUGAACAAAUGGUGGUUGUCGCGUAGAAAGAACGUAUGUUCAAAAAGGCGCGCUUAUUAAUUUAUAAAACGAAAGAGAAAAAAAACUAUGCAUAAAUUAUUAAUUAUCUGAUUUUCAACGUUAACUAAUUUAUGCAAUUUCGAUCAUCUUACGAAACCAUCGUUGGCAACGUGCAAAAACUUGUUAAAAUUAUCGGAACAAGAAAAAAAUAUUAUCAUCGUCUCUUAAUCAUCAUUAAUAUCAUCAUUAAUUUUAUUGUUAUCAUUAUUAGAUAAUUUUUUUCUCUAGUUUUUGAGAAACUGCAAUUGCUUCACAAUAGUUUUGUAAGUGUAUAAGAGGUGCGUAAUGUAACAAGCCUACUGUGAUUUGAUUAAAGAACAAUUAGAUAUGUAUUUGUAUAGUAUAAUGAAACGUGGUAGAAGAUACGUAGUUGAUGAUCCUGUAGAUAAUUAAAAAUAAUCAAUAAAUUAAUUAAAAAUUAAAUACAUAUGUAGAAGGGGAAAAUAAUUGAUCGAUUUUAAUCCUUGUCAUAAUAUAAUUAUGGUGUAUGUAUAGAGAACUUUUGAAAGGAAUUUGAAGCAUAAAUUGGGCGCGGUAUGUUUUUAAUUUAAUUAUAUUAUAAUUACCUACAUAAUUAGUGUUAAGUACAUCCAU